RNAcentral lists this ribosomal RNA (472 nucleotides) under Gephyrocapsa oceanica. RNAcentral's name for it is "partial Eukaryotic large subunit ribosomal RNA". It matches the Rfam family "Eukaryotic large subunit ribosomal RNA", at positions 1457 to 1932 of the family's 3401-position model. Lineage: Eukaryota; Haptophyta; Isochrysidales; Noelaerhabdaceae. The record is from RNAcentral.
GUAGUAGCAAAUAUUCAAAUGAGAACUUUGAAGACCGAAGUGGAGAAGGGUUCCAUGUGAACAGCAGUUGGACAUGGGUUAGUCGAUCCUAAGAGACAGGGAUGUUCCGCACACGUAGGCUUUGCCUCGUCUCUCGAAAGGGAAUGGGGUUAAUAUUCCCCAACCAGGACGUGGAUACUGUACGGUAACGUAAGAGAAUUCGGUGACGCAGGGGGGAGCCUUGGGAAGCGUUGUCUUUUCUUUUUAACCGUCUUUUACCCUGAAAUCAGAUUACCUGGAGAUAGGGUUAAUUGGCGGGUAAAGCACCUUGUCUUCCGAGGUGUCCGGUGCGCUCUCAACUGCCCUUGAAAAACCGAAGGAUAGACUUAUUCACACCCCUGGUCGUACCCAUAACCGCAUCAGGUCUCCAAGGUUAGCAGCCUCUAGUCGAUAGAAGAAUGUAGAUAAGGGAAGUCGGCAAAAUAGAUCCGUA